Molecule: long non-coding RNA, 311 nt
Organism: Drosophila persimilis
Lineage: Eukaryota; Metazoa; Arthropoda; Insecta; Diptera; Drosophilidae
Exons: 2
Source: RefSeq, a predicted model, not a curated record
AAUCGACACUACAUCUGGCGCCCGAAGUGGAUCCGAUGACCAGGCAGAAAACUACAAUCUUUAUUUGACGUGUGUUGUUUUUGAUUGGUUCCAUUGAGCAGGGAGUCGUGGUGCCAAGGCGACGGACAGAAGUGUCCCAUCCAAGGAUUUCCUCGAUUGCCAGAUAGGUGUUUCCAAUCCAAUCUGUUGUAUAUGCCAUAGAAGCUGCCGCAGCACCAGCCAUUGACGAAUCGCUUGACUUUUGAAUUUCUGUUAAUUUUAAAUUUAAUGUGAUCUACGAAUAUAGCGAUGUAAAUAACGCCAUUACCGGA